Long non-coding RNA from Dermochelys coriacea (leatherback sea turtle), 1654 nucleotides. RefSeq lists it as uncharacterized. Lineage: Eukaryota; Metazoa; Chordata; Testudines; Dermochelyidae. The record is from RefSeq and is a predicted model, not a curated record. The transcript is spliced from 5 exons.
UACAAGACUCUUACCUUCCACAAUCUAUUUUGGUUCUGAUGUUAUUAUCACUUAUCUAAAGCUAAGGAAUGAGAUGGAAUUUAUAUCUGCUAUGAACAACAUUAUGUGAAUUGUUAAUUGGUGAGGCUUAGUGCUAAUUUGGCUGGGCACUAUGUGCCAGCUAACAGCUGUAUAGAAGCAGCAAAUGAUGUCUGGAUCUCAGUUCUGCAGUUCAGAUAAUUGAGAAUGUGUGUCAGACAGGACUUGAGAGGAAGUAUAGAUUGGUGGCUGCAUCAAGCCUGGAAGCUCUUCCACUUCUACAAGACCUUGAGCAAUAAAAACAUCAGGGAUUAAGUGUAUAGCAAUACAUAAGGCCAAGGAAUGAUUCUGGCAUAUCCCAUUGAAUUGCAGCCAUGCCCUCCCUUCAAGCAGAAUUAUCUGCAUUUCUAAUUAGGCAGAAUGUGAAGAGAUCUGUCUCCAGAUGACUCCAGCAUGUUCUACCUACUCGGGAUCAGAUACUUCAAAGGGUGAAAAAGGAAAGGAACUAAGUAGAGAAAUAACUGAUGGCAGCAAAACUGCCCUUUGAAUGUCUGAAAAUGACUCAGUGUCCCCACUUCAACUCCACCCUAUCCACAAAACGAUCCAAAGCUGCGGUUCUCCUCUCUGAAGUGGGAUAAUCAACUUAGUAUGUUCACAUUCCCUAUUCAUCAGCACGGAUCCCCACAAGCAGCCUUAAUAAAUGGUGGAGUGUAAAGGAACCCCCAGGUGAUGCAGCAGCAUCCAAUGGCAGAAUAGAGCCCAUCUGUCUAGUCUCACCACAUCAAUUGGUGGGACCUUGGAGUAUGGGCAGGUUUUUGUCACAUACACAAAUUCCCUGCAAAAGCCACCUUCGAACUGUGCUGUGUGGUGUACAGUGAAUAUGCAGUAUCUCCUGUGUGACUUCCCCACAAGCCGCCUUGUCUAGGGGAAUUUCACUGGUUCUGCUGAAUUUGAGGUCCUGACAGUUCUUAAUCAACAACUGGCUGACUCUUUCUGUUCCAAGGGAGAAGGGCUCUUAUGGCAUUGUAUUCAUAUUUGUAUGUUUCCAUAAUCUUGCCAUGUUCUCCUGUGGAGAAUCAGAAGAUGUUAAGAAUCUAAGAUCCAACAUAAAGUUCCAUCUCUGUGCAAUUAAAAUGGCAUAGUUAAAAAAAAUAAGCACCUCAACCACAUUCUGAAAUAUGAUAAUAUCCCGUUGACAUGUGGAUGCUCAAGGUUCCUGUUAUGCAGGCCCAGGAACAGUGAAUCACACCCGGAAAACAUGGAAAAAAGAGAUGUAUUUUGUGGGCCAAAUUUUCAAAUGCAUACAGAGUAAUCAGAUAUUCAGAGUCUGCAUUUGGAUAUUUAAACGGGCUACUGGCUUCAUAAAAUGUGUGCAAGUACCAAUCUCAGGAGCUAAAUGCAGGAUUUGGAUAUCAAUAAUCUGACAGCCACUUUUGCAACCUAAGCAGGCAGAAGGGCUUACGUGUUUCUCUAGUCUUCCACAGCCAGAAAGCAUGUAAAUUAUCAUUUUUUGUAGCAACCUCUGGUUUAAUAAUCAUUUAUUAGCUAACAUGCUUUUACUAUCACAUGGUCUUUAACUAGGGCUUUCACAAAACACUUCAAAUGUUUUAUCUAAGUGAUGCUGCAAAUGCAAUAU